GAGAAUUGAUCCAAUGACUGCUGGCGUGUAGAAUGAAUUGCGAUGAAACAUCUCAUCCUACCUGCUCCUCAUUCCCUUUUCUGCCAACGAUUUAUCUUCAGAAGACAAGCAGAUGAGGAGACAAAACCUACUGAUGUGGGUACCCAAGCAGGAACCCCCCUCUUGCACCGGCGACUCACGUGGGAAGAAGAAUUCACUGAGCUGAAAUGGAGUGAGAGCUAAGAUGCUCUCAGAAUAUUCUUAAAAUGACUGUGCUGCAAAGAAGCCUGGGUGAAUAGAAGAAAAUAAAAGGAAUGGUGGAUACAAGUGAAGGUUAAAAUGAGACCCCAUUUAUCGCACCAGCUGUUGGUGAUUUCAGCGCUCCUUUCCAAGCCUCUUGAGAGUUCUGCUCUAACCACACUGCCCCCUAGUGUUCUCUCGCUUUGGUGCAACUGCAGGUUUCUCAUACUUCUGGAGAAAUAGAAAGCACCAGAUGACAGCCACCACACACUUUUGUCCCCAUUGCAAUAGGAUGCUUCUAACAAUCGUAAAAUUAUGAAACACUGAAUUCCUUAAAAGUUGUCCAUUUGUGGAUUUAUCUGAUGGUAACUAUUAAAUAUUUAAAAGUAACUUUAAUGAAUCUACUUAUGAUGAUUGUCUGAGUAAUCUAUUCUCUGAAUUCCACCAAAAAACCAUUUUAUGACCACAGUCAUAACGAACAUAUUUCUAUAGUCCUAAGCUGGCAAGAUAAAUAGAGAACUGUUCAUAAUAUAAACAAUAUA
This 761-nucleotide non-coding RNA is filed under the name Pan troglodytes (chimpanzee). Lineage: Eukaryota; Metazoa; Chordata; Mammalia; Primates; Hominidae. The record is from RNAcentral.